RNAcentral lists this ribosomal RNA (160 nucleotides) under uncultured bacterium. RNAcentral's name for it is "partial 16S rRNA". It matches the Rfam family "Bacterial small subunit ribosomal RNA", at positions 358 to 511 of the family's 1533-position model. The record is from RNAcentral.
GGAAUCUUCCACAAUGGACGCAAGUCUGAUGGAGCAACGCCGCGUGAGUGAAGAAGGUCUUCGGAUCGUAAACUCUGUUGUUAGAGAAGAACACGAGUGAGAGUAACUGUUCAUUCGAUGACGGUAUCUAACCAGCAAGUCACGGCUAACUACGUGCCAG